Molecule: long non-coding RNA, 280 nt
Filed under: Elaeis guineensis (African oil palm)
Lineage: Eukaryota; Viridiplantae; Streptophyta; Magnoliopsida; Arecales; Arecaceae
Description: long non-coding RNA (EGUI_LNC020759)
Source: RNAcentral
GGUAGAGUCAUCACUGUCGCUCCAUAUAGCCAUCAUAAUCUUUUUCUUCUUAAACUUCUUUUGACCUUUCUUGAGCUGGGAAUAUUCUGAUCUGAAGUGGUCUGACUUCUUGCACUCAUAGCAAAUGAUGGGCUGUUCUUUUUUUUUCUUUACUCAGCUCUCCCUUAGCUGGUGGUCUUCUCUUGCUUUCUUAUCUCCUUCUUCUCAUGAAGUGUCUAAACUUUCUGAUGAUUAGGGUCCAAUCAUCAUCUUCCUUGCUGUUCUCUGAUUUUUUUGUAUC